RNAcentral lists this ribosomal RNA (725 nucleotides) under uncultured Fusobacterium sp. Its description in RNAcentral is "bacterial SSU rRNA". It matches the Rfam family "Bacterial small subunit ribosomal RNA", at positions 29 to 776 of the family's 1533-position model. The record is from RNAcentral. Lineage: Bacteria; Fusobacteriati; Fusobacteriota; Fusobacteriia; Fusobacteriales; Fusobacteriaceae.
GAAGACGCUGACAAGAAUGCCUUACACAUGCAAGCCACUUGAACUUCGGUUUAGGUGGCGGACGGGUGAGUAACGCGAAAGAACUUGCCUCACAAGUAAGGGACAACAUUUGGAAACGAAUGCUAAUCCCUGAUAUUAUGAUUUUAGGGCAUCCUAGAAUUAUGAAAGCUAUAUGCGCUGUGAGAGAGCCUUGCGUCCCAUUAGCUAGUUGGAGGAGGUAACGGCUUCACCAAGGCGAUGAUGGGUAGCCGCCUGAGAGGGUGAACGGCCACAAGGGGACUGAGGCACGGGCCCUUACUCCUACGGGAGGCAGCAGUGGGGAAUAUUGGACAAUGGACCAAGAGUCUGAUCCAGCAAUUCUGUGUGCACGAUGAAGUUUUUCGGAAAUGUAAAGUGCUUUCAGUUGGGAAGAAAAAAAUGACGGUACCAACAGAAGAAGUGACGGCUAAAUACGUGCCAGCAGCCGCGGUAAUACGUAUGUCACAAGCGUUAUCCGGAUUUAUUGGGCGUAAAAGCGCGUCUAGGUGGUUAUAUAAGUCUGAUGUGAAAAUGCAGGGCUCAACUCUGUAUUGCGUUGGAAACUGUGUAACUAGAGUAUUGGAGAGGUAAGCGGAACUACAAGUGUAAAGGUGAAAUUCGUAGAUAUUUGUAGGAAUGCCGAUGGGGAAGCCAGCUUACUGGACAGAUACUGACGCUGAAGCGCGAAAGCGUGGGUAGCAAACAGG